AAGGGCAUCGAUUUCCUUACAGUAGACAAGCGUAAAAAAAAAAAAAAAGGGAAACAAAAACGUGCUGGAAGAGGCAAGGCAUUGGUGAAAAAGGCUCUAGAAAAAUUCAAAGUUGCAAACUAACAAGAAUACAAGGAAAACUCUAUAAUGUACCAAACAAUAUACCAAAUAAAUAUUGUCAACAAGCUAAAAACCAUGAGAAUUAAUGCAAAGCAAUUGAAGAGAACAAACAAUAGUUCAAGUAAUCAAGAUGAGAAAAGCUUUGAAAAAGGAAAGAAUUGUUUUGUAGAAGAGAUGCAUCAUGAACUUUUCUUAGGGGAAAGGUAGGUGAAAGUCGUUUGUCAAGAUCAUGGAUAAAUAUGCGUAGAUAUGUCAGGCAGUCCAACAAAAGAUAAUUUCCAUAAACAAACAAAUUACCAAUCCAAACUGAUGAACACUUCCAUCCACAGACUUCAGCUAUAUUACAUGGACUUAAUGUUCUAAAAGUCGCUAUGCACAGCGGUCAGCCACCUUCGAGUGAUUAAUCGGCGAAUAAUUGGUGCAUAUUAAUUAGUAAUCGGUGAUUAAUUGUUAGUCGGACCUAAUCGGAUAGGCCCCGCCAACAAUUAAUCACCGAUUAAUUCCUUGUUUUAGAACACUGCAUGGACUCGGGUGCGGGUAUGUGCCUAAGUGUCCACUUCAUCCGUUUUCAGUCUCAAGGUCAAGGACUGGGAUUAUAUGCCACAACUUCAAAUUUUUGUUAGCAUAUUCCUUAUUUUCUCGGUAAAUAGUGUUUACAAAGUGUCUUAGGGCAAUUUUGUUCGGUUACUGGUUUGCCUUUAUAUGAUUACGACAUUCGAAUUUGUCACAGUUGUGUCUGGUAACAGUAUAUCCUAUGCCACCUUUUAAUCCAGAAAAAGUAUAUCCUCCGGUUCCAGAGACUGUGACAGGGCCCAUGAUGAGCUUGCUUUUGGAAGUAACUGCUAAUGCCUGAUGGAAUGCAAUGGGAUAGAUGGUAGAAGGAUGCCUUUGGACUCGUAUUUUGUUCGUACACAAUCAUGAAUAAACUAGGAGUUCCACGCAUAGUUUGUGGCAAAUUAGAAUUACAAACUACGAUUGCUAGGCGAAUAUCCAACUAAAUGUGUCGAGAGUGACACAGAUCUCAAUUCCCACACCCUUAUCUGAGUGCCAAGUGUCCCAUCGUAUUUUGUACAUGUAGGAGGACCCAUCUUAGUCUCUACUGACGUGUUUACAAGGAUCAACACAGAUUAUUAAACCAAAAGGAGAAACCAAGAUACUUUGAUACCACUUAGAAAGAAAUUACCGCUUAAAAACAACCCCAAGAAUAUCCAUACUCC
Rhododendron vialii is the source of this 1337-nucleotide long non-coding RNA. RefSeq lists it as uncharacterized. NCBI's taxonomy places the organism in Eukaryota, Viridiplantae, Streptophyta, Magnoliopsida, Ericales, Ericaceae. The record is from RefSeq and is a predicted model, not a curated record. The transcript has 2 exons.